CUUAUGCUCACUCCGUCUGGAAAUACUUGUCAUCAAAAUUGAUAAAAAAAGAUGUAUCUAGACGCAUUUUAGUUCUAGAUACAUUAUAUUUUAUCCAUUUUGAUGAUAAUUAUUUCCGGACGGAGGGAUUAGUUA
This is a non-coding RNA of Triticum aestivum (bread wheat), 135 nucleotides long. Lineage: Eukaryota; Viridiplantae; Streptophyta; Magnoliopsida; Poales; Poaceae. The record is from Rfam.